GAGGCCUUAAUUAAGUAAUUUUUCUGAAGUAAUUAAAUGACUGUAAAAUCAUCAUAUAGAUAGCAGUGCUGCACCAUAGUUUGAAACCUGACUUUCUCCUCCCCAUCAGGAAAUCAAGAGAAUCUUGGCCACCCCUAUCCCGGCACAGCAGUUAUGUUCCUAGCCAGGGGGUCUCUGUAGGAGUUGCCCCACAGAAGAAUUACACCCGCUGCGCAAGAUGCUUCUUUUGAAAACUGCUCACUCCAUUUGGAGUGGUCUUUUAUACAUUUCUGAAUCUAAAUUAUUUCCCUGGAAGAAACUACACACUGUCCUGGAGCUUCUGAAAUUAAUCACUCAGGUAAACACUUCCUUCUUUUUUGCUGCCAGUUUGGAACAGAAAAAAUUCUGCGUAAAUCUUUCCUCCCUAAUAAAAUCUAGUGCAAAACCUCCGUUCAUCUGAAGGAUUCUACUGCAGCACCCUAUCAGUAUGUGGAGACUGUUUUCAUCCUGAAAAGAUUUUACUGUGCCUUUAUGCUAACUUCAUCAGAAAAAAAGCACCCUCUAAAAUUCAGGGCCAUUUUGGAGAUGCUGCUGUCCUACAUUAACUAAUUUGCUGUUUUAUUGAAACCACAAACUUGUGGGGAACAAUUCUGUGCCAGACCUUUUCAAUGGGCUGGUUGUGCUCAGGUAAGCGCUCAGUACUGCAAAAGUUGCACAAUCCAGCCCUUCACCUUGUGUGAGAAUAUCCUUUUACAAGCUCUAAGAUCAGAAGUGCCUGCAAUAUUUUUACUUCAUUGCAGUUCUCUUUAGCAAUGAAGGACUGUGUGUGUGAGAUGUUUAUUGGGCAAACACCAUGGCUUCAAACUCCUGCAAGUGAAACUGCCUUUAUUGAUUUUCACUGUCCCAGGCAUGCCAAAAGAAAAUACAUACACCAAAUGAGGAUCUUCAGAUGCCAUUUGGGGAUAAAUGUUUACAAAGACAUGACUUACAGACAAAGAAACAUGCUCCUGGCUGAAAAAAAGUUUCCAAGCUUUAUGUUGUCUCUGUAUUUGCUGAUCUGGUUCAGCCAAGGAAAUAGCAGUGAGUGCCUGGCUGGUCAGCCGUGCCUUGGUACCUGGAUCCAGAAUUGGGCAGGGAGCAGACAUAUGGCUGAGGAAGCAGGUCACUCCUUUUGUCUGCUCUGUGUAUUUUGCUGAAGCCUCAAGAGGAGAGCCAGACGGUGAUAUUCAUUCCAGUGGCACUGAGCAGCGGACACUAGCCUGCUGGGAAAAGAUCCAACACCAUCAAUUCAUUUUCAUUUCCCAUGAAUGGUGAGAGUAUUGAUUUAAUCCAAGGGUUAGAAUUGACAACGCCAUAUCCAUGCUUGCUGAUAUAUAGCUUUGCUUUCCUUGUGACUUAGAGCAUUUGGGAAGUGGCUUUAAAUGAACAGCUUUUGUGUCUUCUUCCAGGAAGGAACUGGUGAAGGUUCAUGGAGACAUGGGUGCUCUGGCACAGCCCUCAUGAGGCUGGAUGGAUCCUGGGCAGAUGGGACAUUACUUUGGUUGUUGUGGUCAGCCUACAAAUUUCUUUAAUUUGCUGAAGGAAUCGGGCCUUACAGGGCUAUAGGGCUUCAUAAACAACUUUAAUUUUCUCUUUCCCUAUCCUGACUCAGAUCCUCAGGUGAAGAAGAUGUGAAGCUUUGAUUCAAAACUCCACAUCCUACAGUUGAUGUCUUAGGUGACCGUGUCCCACAUUUAACAGCAAGUUAAUUUGGUUUCUGUAUUUUAAAAAAAUACAUGGAGGUCUCCGACCUUUUCACUUGAGUUAAACAUAUAUGCAAAGGCAGUGGAGGGUGGUGUUGCAGUGCUGCCUUUAAUUUGGCUGGUCUGACCAGCAGUGUCAUGGAUGUCAGCAAGAGGUCUUGAGACUCUCGACUUCAAAUGUUUGUAAAAAUACCUUUCCUAAUGUUGCUGGCACAGCCCUGACUGCACACACAGGAACCCCACCUUCAGUUGCUGGUAGGUGGCUCUGAUUCCCUAUGCUUUUCGUGCCAAGGGAUUUUGCAAUUUUUUUUGUGUAACUUGGAUGGAAAAUGGUAUUUCAGUGUUUUUUCUGUGACUGCUGCUUUUACUCUCCUUCCCCUGAUAUAUAUCUUGGAGAGUUUAUACAUCUUAAUGAAAUUAUGCAAAGGGGAGGUGGUGCCCAGAGGAAAGGAGAAAGUGGAAAAAUUAUAUAAGCUUCCAGAAAUAACAUGGAAACCAAUUUUUUUCUGUAGUACUGAAAUCCUGUUCUAGAUGACUAAAUUAAAAGUGUUUGUAGUAAUACACUGAAGAGACAAUGUAAGUGUACAAGUGUCUGCUAGGAACACCCACCUGAAUGGGAUUCCACCUGUACAAGCACUGCCACCAGAGAGUUUUGCUGGCAUAGCUGGGGGUUUUUUAGGGGACAGGCACUGGGAUGGCCCCUUUCAAAUGCCAUCUGAUGAAUCACAGUUUUCUGAGGUGGUUGUGGAGCAAUCUUUGGCUCCGCACAUGAAUUCCACUGAACAAGAGCAACGCAGGAAAAAUUUCUUGUACAUCAUACGAGGCUAAAGCUGGAGCCAGUCUAGCCCAUGUCUGUUCCCAGGGCAGCCAACUUACACGUGGUCUCUGACCCGCACCUAGCUGGAACUGGCUUUUGUAUGCAUGUGUGAGCUGGGCAACCAGAGUGCUUGGUGCCAGUGUGAGGCUUUGCCUCCAGUAUAUCCUUUUCCAAAGCCUGGUAUUUUGCGUGCAGGAAUGUGGCAGGGGGCAAGGCAAGCUGAUUGCUUUGUGGAAUGUUAGUCCUGGUGGCCUGGGUCUCUGGGCCUAACAUUAUGCUAGAUGUAUAUGUUUGCAUUUAUUAUUGCCUCUCAUGAAAAAUACAUAAGUAGAUAUCUCUCACUCUGUAGCUUUCUGUUAGUUUGCCUGUAGUUGUUGUAGUCAUAACUGGGAAGGGACAAGGAAAAAGGGAGAGGUGUAUCUCAGCCACAGGGCAGAUCUGGGUCAGAGCCCAGAAUAAACUCAGUUCACCAGUACCCAUAGCUCGAGGUAACUGGGCUGGGUGGAAAUUGUUGACAGGAGGGGGAAAUGUAUGCAUUUCCUUUUUGUUUGAAUCGUGAUUUGCCCUUUCUGUCCCAGAUUGCAUAACAUACAUCACUUAGAAGGUUAAAAUACAAGUCUUCGUGACUCACUCCCAGAGCUACCUAAAAUACUUUUGGGAUUUGUGCAGUGGUGAAGGGGGUGAAUCUAAUAACCUUGUAGAAGUUGAGGUUACAUGUCCCUUGGUAGCAAAAAAAGGUGAAAAAAACCUGCCUUUGAAUCCCCCAUCACCACAAUACUCACUCCUGCCCUUUCUCAGAAGUUCCUUUCAGGAGAGCUGAUUCAGCUGUUUGUGUGGCUGCACAUAAACUGGAUGAAAGAAUGAGAUUUUGAAAAGCCCUCAAAAAGGGAGGGGUUGUGAACCUGUGCAGAAAACACAUGUUGUGCAUCCAUAUUAAGAUCUAUAGUUGUGCUUAGAUGAGGUUAUCUGCACUUAAAGUGCUUCUGGAUUGGGACCACAGAUGAUGAGGCUUGCUGGAAUCACGUGCCCAAGAAGUAUAUGACCUUGGAGCACAGAGCUGAGUGAAAGCCAUGUUUCACUAGGAUUUUUGAGAGGCAGCCAGCACUGUUUUCAAAGUGCUCUCAAGUAUUGUGGAGGAAAUGUUGACAGAUACUGCAAUACUCACACUGAUGAAUAUGCUCAGGCUGCACUGAGCAUCUCUACAUUUGUGCCAGGACUUGAGACCCAGCAUAACAAGUGCAAUACAAGAGGAGGAGGAAGGAAAAGCUGAUAGUGGGCAGAUGCUUUCUGUCAUUUUCUGGAUGAGCUGCUUUGGCCUCAGCGGAAGAAGCUGUCCCCAGGCAGGCAGAGCUGCUCUGUGGAGCGGAGCAGGCAGAGUUACCAGGGCACAAGUCAUUUUUCAGACCACAGAGUGAAGUUUCUUUCCCAGGGCAGAGCUGGGGGCAUCACUGUCAAGGCACGAAUCUCCCUGAUACCCUGGAGCUGCUGCCCUGAUGGCUGACACAUGUGGGAGGGUGUGGGGGGUGGCACAGCACCCACCUUUUGCAGUUACUAAGCUUACGUGGUCUCCAGACCAAGGCUCCAAAGUGAGUUUACCAGCACAAUUAUUGAGCUAACAGAGUGUGUAAUCAUCAGAUGUUUCACAGAAAUCAGAAUGUUUGGAGGCUCCUCAUUGCAGAUUAAGUCAAAGCACAACAAGUGGAAAGCACAGAGAAUAAUUAUUUUCAGCAUUAAAUUUUCAGAUCACACUACAUGCAAAAACUUGAUUCAGAAACAUGUGCAGCAUAUGUAGGUUUUAUGAGCCUUGAACAGUAAAGAGUUUGCUGAAAUUUCUAUCAUUCUUGAAGUGCAUGGGAAGUAGCAUGCAUGCAGUGAGAAAGAAGCUGUAUCUGUUUUCUUCUCUUACACAUUUUAAAGGGUUUUGUAUAUGUUCCUUGUUUUCAUAAAACUAUGCAGUGAUUCCCCUAUAAAAUGUCAGUAACCUGGAAACAAACUGUGACAUGAAAGUUUGACUGUGUUCCAUGAUGUACACAUUGUAUCAUAAACACAACAAAAACACAUGGCAAUUUUCCCUUCCUGCACAUUGGGAAAAUUUCUUCUGCAGACUAGCUUCUUCAGUAAUACUCACCAACAUAGCACAACUUAAGGAACAAAAUGCUGAGCACUCUCAUGGCAGGAUAUAUUGGGCCACGUGGAAAUUUUUCCUGGAAUGAACUACUUUGGAAACACAGAAAAAAAUAUGUGAAAUGUUAUGUCAAAUCAUAUGUUGACAUUCUGGUGAUUCUGUCACGAGUCUUGUAACAGGGUUUGCUGUACACCUCUGCAGUUUGAUUCUAGAGAGCCUGGAAACCUGAGCUAUAAGUAACAAUAAAAACAAUAAAUUAAAAAUGAGAAAAAUAUUGCUCAAUCACACUGAAAAGUGUAAAAAUAAAGCACAAGAGCAAAGACUCAGAAAAAGUGGCCUCCAAGUGCAAAUAUAUAUACCCUCAACCUUUUUUUUUUCCUCCUCUCUUUUUAAACUUAUUUUCAAACUCUGUGUGACUUCACGGCAGUUUUGAGGCAGAAGGCACAGGAGCAUGGGCAGCCUCAUACCUCUGUGACCAGAUCCUGUAGGAAACCCAUAUCCAAGCUUACUGCAGCAUGAAAGAAAAGGAGGCAUGCCCUCUUCUACCCAUUUCCCUACAAAAGCAGUAACAAAUACUUUACCAUGUCCCACUAACUGUACAGAGAGAAAAUGUCAGAGUGUACACAGCAGCCUGCUGUAUGUUUUCUUCUGCUUCUGUGGCAGGGAUGAGUUUUCUGUUUCUGAAGAACCCCCCUCAUGGUGUAUUGCCUGGAGUAGGUCCCUUCCCAUCUGGGGUGCUCCUCUUCAGACUUCUCUUUUUCUUUCUGUAGCAAGCCCAAGGACUUGUCUCUACAAACCAUAGCCAUAAGAGGACUAGAGACCAAGAUCUUUGGUCUUAGAACCACAGAAUCAUUAGGGUUGCAAGGGACCUCUGGAGAUCAUCUAGUCCAACCCCCUGCCUGCCUAGUGUGGGAAUUAGAGCCUGGAAAAACUUUUAAAGCGAGCAGGUUAUACAGGAAUGUGUCCACGUGGGUUUGGAAUGUCUCCAGAGAGGGAGACUCCAUGACCUCCCUGGGCAGCCUGUUCUAUCCCUCUGCCACCCUCAAAAUAAAGAAGUUCUUAAUGUUGAGGUGGAACUGCUUGUGAAGUCUUCAGCCACCUGAGCUGUAUUUUUUCCCUAGAAGGUGCUUUUUCACAACCUCUCGUUUGGCUUUCUUGUCUUCAGUCAGAGUAACAGAAUUCUAGUUAAUGGUGGCUUUUAUUUUAAAGGGAAAGAGCAAUGCAAGGAAAGUAAAGUACUUCACUGAUAAUUUAGUGAUUACUAGAAAGUUGCUCUGCAAAGAUAAUUUCUGUGUCAUAAUGAAGCUGAUAUCUUCUCUCUAUAUCCAACCAACCAGCUACUGGCAAUCAUGCCAAAAACCAAACCAAAACCCGAAAUGGGUUUUCUAUUACCUGUACUUCAGUGUUCUACUGUGACCCAAGAGUUAUGGCAAUGGCUCUCUUUGGCAAGUACCCACUGCUUCUUGUGGGAUGCUACCGAAGCUCCAGCAGGGCCACAGCAGGAUGCAAGCUCCAGCAGGUUUGUGCUAUGGCAUAUCUGAAAGCUUCUAGUCUUUUCUGUAAAGAGCUAUAUGAAGAAGUUUGUUAAGUUUGGUUGACUUUUGAUCUAUAUUCUAAGUGGGUUUUUUCCCUGUAGUAAAGGAUAACGUGAUUAGUGUGUUUCUGUAUUAGGAUGCUUCCACUCCCUCCUUUUGAAUUUUAGGGCAUCUUUUAUGCUUGUAUUCUCAAUAUAUACCUACAGAGGCCAUAAUAUUUGACCUUUGGAAAUCCCAUGUUAUGGCUCUGAUUUAUGCUGUGAUGACAGACAUAAGAGCCCACUGAAAUCAGUGUGGCUCUGGAUGGUUACCAUGGUUCUUCUCUGAGCCUCAGAUGGAAGGAUCUGCUUCUAUGUUAAUAUCUAAGAAGAAACAAAGGGAAUUGGAAUUCAUGGUUUAUAAAGAAUCAAUGUAAUUUUCAUGUUCCUACCUCACUCCCCAUCAUCCUAAAAUGCAAAGAAAGCUAAAUGUCAAGUGUUAGUGGAGAUGUAUGUUAAAAAUUAAAAUAUAUAUUUUUUUCCACUGCUGUGAAUACUGUUUUAAUGGCACUGGAGAGAUGUGCUGUUGCAGACAGGUGCUCCUGUAGAUUUAAAUACUAUGUCAAUCACACCUACUAUGUCAAUCACAGGGUUAAGAGGCAGACAGCUUUCAUCAAAGGCCAGACGAACCCCUCCCAAUUUAGAUCAACUCCACUGCAAUUAAACAGUGUUAGUGUUAGGCCUUCACAAUUGUCAGUACCUGGUUGUUACCCACUGUUAGCAGCAGUUGAUAGUUAUUCUACAGAAUUUCUUUAGGUUUUAAAAAAUGCUUUAAAUGAAAACAUAGAGGAAAACACAGCACUUGGAAAAACGAGGAGAGGGUGUGGGUAGUUACAGUACUGAACUGCAGAAGAGCUGUAUUUCAUAGUAACUGUGCUGCUGUUUGUUCUUGGAAAAAUCACUUAUUGUUCUCUUAUCCCUGUACUGCUCUGAAGAAUCUACAAAAGAAACCAUUAAGAAAACAAAUUCAAGGAAGCAGUGGAACGUGAAUUCAAGAGCAGAAUGUGAUUGCACAAGGAGAUUCUACACCGAACUGAAACAUUCAUGCUUUGGAUCAUUGAGAACAAAUGAAGUACAAUACCGGUCUGUUCCCUUUCUAUUCUUAUGUCUCCGUUUUGUUUUACUUUCCUUAGCUUAGAUUUUUUUUCCUUUUUGGAGUCCUGCAGGGAGGAAAAAGGAGCCUUUGUUUUAAAAAGUCUGAGACCAACAGUGGCCCAUUGAUCAUAAUUAAGUCUAAAAUAAUACGCUUUUGCUGACCUGUUUGUAUUGAAUCCAAAAAAUUUUAUGUUAUACCUGCUGUAGUCUUGGUCUGCCCCCAGAUUCAGUUGCUUGUUCCUGAGCUUCUGGUUCUGGGGCAAUAGCUUUAAAAGCCUAAAUAAACCUGUGUGUUUUCAGGGCUGCAUGUUCUGUAUAAGAACAAAUCGAUCAUAAUCAGAUGUUGUCUUUGUCAUGUACUCUCUUUUCUUUGACAGACAGCUGUCCCCAUAACAACCAUCUCUGUUGUCAAUAACUUCCUCAGAUCAUGAAAUGGCACACAGGAUGGCGGUAGUUCUCAUAGUAACACUGGGAGGUUGCAUAAAAAUUUUAAGUAAUCUUGCCGUGAUGUGCUUGGACCCAAUUCAGAGCUUCCUGAAGUCUGUAUGAAACUCUGCUGAUUUCAACAACCAUUCAUCUCUUCAGGGGCUGCUUCUGACCUUUUGAAUUCAGGUUUUUAACAUGACAAACUACAGAGGCUUAACCCUGUGGCUCUUGGUAGUCUAGUAUGCUCUAAUGAGUCAAUAUGCUUAGUUGUAGAACAAAUAUGCUUCAGGAAAAUAGUGGAGAGAUUCACAAAAAAUAUGUCUUGGCAUCAUUAUCCUAUGAAUGGGGAGUGUUCGGUGCCUUGGACAUGCUUCUAUCUGUUCUCAGCCUGGGUCUUUACAGACACCCACAACACACACGCAGGCAUAGUCCCAUCCAGCUCCUAAGAAUGCAUGCUCAGGAUAAAAGCCCUUCAAGGGUCACCCAAUACCUGUCUCCCAGACUGCUCAUUUGACUCACCAGCUGGUCUGGUUUGGAGUUCAUUACCAGAUCAGAUGCACAGACAUAGAAUAGAGAACACAAUCACACGGAAGGUAGUUAAAAACGGAAUUUAAAAAGAGGAUAGGACAGACAGUGGCAAUUAGCCAUGGGGCUCAGUCACACAAACAUACUGCCCAGCAGCCUGCUUACAUGCAGAUGGCCUUUUUUUAUAUCCUUGCUCCAACACACCUCAAUCUUUUUAGCUCUUCCCUGAUCUGCCUUUGUGCCUCCCUUCCUUGUCUUUGGCCUUUUCCCUAAACAUCUUAUAAUAAUCCUGUAUCAUUGUAAUAGUCUCCUAAUCAAUCACAGUGUUUCCCUCUCAGACACUUUCUUGUAAAUCCUGCUCUCCUUUAUGCAAUAGUCCCCUUAGGUUGUACAGCCUACCAGAGAGUUUCGAUUGUUGAAUUUCUCAGUAGGUUUUGCAUCAGGGAAACAGCUUUGGUAGUCUUAGGGACAAUUGACUCAGAUGAACCCAGUUUUCUGGAUUUUUGUGUUUAUUUUGAAUAACCAUUAGCUACACUGAUCACAAAUCUAUCUAUUCUGCAUUAUUUACUCCCUUCAGAGCUGCUUAUUCAAUACCAUUAUCAUUAAAAAUCUCAUUUGGCCCAACCAGAUGAAUCGGAAUAGGGUGAGAAUCCACUUAGUGCAUUCCACAGCAACCCACCCUGCAGCAUGCAUUGAGUCCUCAAGCAGAGAUUAUACUUUACAGUUUUGACUGCUGUGUUUUUUAGGGCAUCUGAGAACACAGGCUUGGUACUGACUUGCUACUGAGGAUAGCCUUCGGAUUCUGUACAGUUCGAAGGUGAGCAGGGAAGAAUGUAAGGUGGUGAGACCAGCCUGGGCUCACUGCCAGGGAACCAUGCGGCCUGCGGCAGGGACACAACCUGGUAGGUGGAUGAAGACAACCAACGGGCUGCACCAGAAAGUGAAGAUUGCCUUUUAAGAAAGAAAAGAGCGAGGCCUAGCAUGGGAGGAGCGAGGGAGUGGUUGUGCAAAUCGAAGGGUCUUAAAGGGGCUCGUCCCUCCCAGUCAGGUGUGCUCAAACCUGGUCAUGAGUUUGAUGCAGCCAGCGCGCUGUUAAUAAAGUUCUUUGUUUCACUUUA
Molecule: long non-coding RNA, 9400 nt
Organism: Pipra filicauda (Wire-tailed manakin)
Lineage: Eukaryota; Metazoa; Chordata; Aves; Passeriformes; Pipridae
Exons: 3
Source: RefSeq, a predicted model, not a curated record